RNAcentral lists this ribosomal RNA (252 nucleotides) under uncultured Paenibacillus sp. RNAcentral's name for it is "partial 16S ribosomal RNA". It matches the Rfam family "Bacterial small subunit ribosomal RNA", at positions 524 to 776 of the family's 1533-position model. Lineage: Bacteria; Bacillati; Bacillota; Bacilli; Caryophanales; Paenibacillaceae. The record is from RNAcentral.
UACGUAGGGGGCAAGCGUUGUCCGGAAUUAUUGGGCGUAAAGCGCGCGCAGGCGGUUCUUUAAGUCUGGUGUAUAAGCCCAGGGCUCAACCUUGGGAUGCACGGGAAACUGGGGAACUGGAGUGCAGGAGAGGAAAGUGGAAUUCCACGUGUAGCGGUGAAAUGCGUAGAGAUGUGGAGGAACACCAGUGGCGAAGGCGACUUUCUGGCCUGUAACUGACGCUGAGGCGCGAAAGCGUGGGGAGCAAACAGG